RNAcentral lists this ribosomal RNA (518 nucleotides) under uncultured bacterium. Its description in RNAcentral is "bacterial SSU rRNA". It matches the Rfam family "Bacterial small subunit ribosomal RNA", at positions 373 to 882 of the family's 1533-position model. The record is from RNAcentral.
GGACGAAAGUCUGACGGAGCAACGCCGCGUGAGUGAAGAAGGUUUUCGGAUCGUAAAGCUCUGUCUUCAGGGACGAAUGUGCUUAAUGUGAAUAAUGUUAAGUAAUGACGGUACCUGAGGAGGAAGCCACGGCUAACUACGUGCCAGCAGCCGCGGUAAUACGUAGGUGGCAAGCGUUGUCCGGAAUUAUUGGGCGUAAAGCGCGCGCAGGCGGGAAUGUAAGUCUGUCUUAAAAGUUCGGGGCUCAACCCCGUGAUGGGAUGGAAACUACAUUUCUUGAGUGCAGGAGAGGAAAGUGGAAUUCCUAGUGUAGCGGUGAAAUGCGUAGAUAUUAGGAGGAACACCAGUGGCGAAGGCGACUUUCUGGACUGUGUCUGACGCUGAGGCGCGAAAGCCAGGGGAGUGAACGGGAUUAGAUACCCCGGUAAUCCUGGCCGUAAACGAUGGGUACUAGGUGUAGGAGGUAUCGACCCCUUCUGUGCCGGAGUUAACGCAAUAAGUACCCCGCCUGGGGAGUA